RNAcentral lists this long non-coding RNA (2002 nucleotides) under Marmota monax (woodchuck). Lineage: Eukaryota; Metazoa; Chordata; Mammalia; Rodentia; Sciuridae. The record is from RNAcentral.
AUGGCCGGAUGAGGAGAACCCGGCACUAGCCAACUCCCGCCUUCUGGACUUCUGGGUAGUAGCCUCUGACUCAGGGGCGAGGGUCGGAGCUGUUGGCCGGAGAAGGGGUCUUUCCCCCCCUUGGGGGUAAGGGGCCUGCGCUCCCUGGGCUCAGACCAUGCGACCCCCCCUCGUGAUAAGCCACUACUACUUUUGUACCCCUCUCAGGCCCUUAAGACCUGCUCCUCACUCUUCAGGCUCCAGGUGCUGACACCAGACUCGACUGCUUUUGGGGAAAAGUACUUGGCUUUCCUUUCCGAACGUCCUUCCCUGGUUUCCUCCCUUCACGUUCUUCAGCCAGGCCUUAUUAAAAUGGCCUCCCCCUCUUGGACUUUAAGGCCCGGGUGAAGUUUGGAUGGGGCGAGAAGGAGAGGUGGACAGGGACAUCCUCAUUCUAGCUCCUUAUGAUUUCUGAGGGUCUCCCACCUCUCCCAGGAUGAGUUCCUUCAAGUCCUCUAAUUAUCCUGGAGCUUCCUGGUUUCUAGCUGUUCCAGGACCCGCCUAUAAACUGAAAAUGCCAACGUGUGCAGCAUGGGGGAGUGGGGGCUGCUUUUGGUUGACAAACCUAUAUGUGUAUAUCCAGGAGAAUUCCGGAUAGUGGGACUAUUUGAUAUGGUCCAUAAUAAUAGAGUUCCUGUUGACCUUCCGGUGGAACUUCUUAUGAUAUCACUGUAGAGGGUGCUUGUUGAAAUUCAGAACUGAAUUAAGUGAACUUCUUGUCUCCUGUUUUUAAGUUUUAGUAAGAAACUUUAGGUGUAUCCAUUCUGAGAAGAGUAAACUAGAUUAAGAUUAGCCUUUUUUUUUUUCUUUUUUUUAAUAUUGCUCAUUUGAGGAAGGUGCCAGAGUAUUCCUGUUUCCUCACUUCCUGGCUUUCCCAGUCAUAGAAAGUUUUUACUUACCGGAAGUGGCCCCCAAAAGUGGAACAUUACAUAUUCUUAAAUCUCUGCAUUCUUAGAUUAGCAUAGUGGUUUUGUCCCAGGACUUUGGAAAGUUGAUUUCAGCACAAGAAUUGGAGUUUCUGGUUUUCAGCUCAUGCUUGUCAUUGGCAUUGCAUUUGCAGUGAUAGGAUGAAUAUCAGAUUUACUUAUUAAUUUUUAUGGGAAUUUGUACUACAAUAGAAGAAAAAAAAUAAUUCCCAAAAUGUAAAAGAGUAAUGUAGGUCAUGAGCCAUUAUGAUGCCAAGUACUUUUUUGUCACUAGGAUUUUCUGUCAUGUUACUUGAAGCCUUCAGUUGUAUAUUGAUUUUUGUAGAGUGUUGUUUAAAGUAUUUGUUCUUUUUGUUUGGAGGAAGAUUCACAUUAUAUUCUCUGAAGCAGUCUAAAAUAUGAAUUUAUUACUAAUCGGCCUGUUGUCUGAGUGAAGUAACAUUGAUAAUGCUGCUUAAUAAGUAACAAUAUUCCUUUCUACUCUUUGAUGAAGAAAGCUUAUUCUUAAAUUUGUUCCUAAGCAUGUCACCUAGCCACUUGAAAGUUAUAAGUACCUCCUUUUAAAGGUUUGAAGGCUUUACUAAACUCUUUGUUUAGUAAAGUUUGAAGCAUGCUAAAAAAUGAAGCUAUUAGGCACAGCUCUUCUUCCAAGUGGUAGUUUGAACAUUUUAGACAUGAUUAAACUGUCUAAAAUAGUAGGGACUCUUCCUCUAAACAGUGUGGUUAAUGAUCAUGUCCUGUUUGCUUCUAGUCAGGCUUUGGUUGCAUCUUGAUUCCAUGAAAACUUAAAAUCUUAGCCAUUUCUCAUGUUGGUUAGGGAGUCAAGUUUGUUCUGUGACUCACAAGGUUCCUGGUAUAUGUCGUUUUCUCAUGGGAAACAAAAAUAUUGUAUUUUCAAUUCUUUUUUGUGUUAAAGUCAAACUCUAGUUUUUCAUAGUGUAUAGUGAGAAAUGUUUUUCUUCUUUACCUAAAGUUAAAUAUUUUAGGAGUAAUUGUAAUGAGCUAUAAAGACAAACUGAGUCAAUCCAUGUGUGCUG